UUCCAAAUCAAGAACAGAACUCAGAGCCAGUGAGGAAUGAAAAUGGGUAUAUCGCGUUGGAAAACAAGGAACUACUUAAGCCUGCGAUGUCAGUCUGAGACAAAUCUUCUUAGACUUAGAGAAAGAGCCCGAGCACACAAGCAGGGGAGGGGCAGAGGAAGGAGAAGCAGGCUCCUUCCCUGAGCAGGGAGCCCAACACAUGGCUCGAUCCCAGGACCCCAGGAUCAUGACCUGAGCAACAGCACUAAAUUGACUGAGUCACCCAGGCGCCCCAAGACACAUACUGAUUUAGAGCCUUGCUUCUUCAACGAUGGUCCUCAGACUAGCCGCAUCUGCAUUACUUGAGAGCUUACUAGAAACAUGGGAUCUUGGCUCUGCACAGACCUACUGAAUCAAAACCUGCAUUUGAACAACAUCUCCAGGUGUCUCUUAUCAGAUUAAAAUUUUGAGAAAUCCUUCCUCUUUAGGGCUUGGACUUUGGAUUUAAUGGACUCACUAUUUACUAAAUAAGGGUUUUAAUUUCCCUGGGCUUCAAUUUUCUUACCUGCUAGAUGGUGAUUAACCAAGAUAGCAGAGGAAAAUGCGUUGUUCAAUGCCAGGCAGAGACGCUCAGCAGAGGGUAGCAUUCAUCCCUGUGAGUAGGUCUUUCAGCGCCGA
Molecule: long non-coding RNA, 657 nt
Filed under: Mustela putorius furo (domestic ferret)
Lineage: Eukaryota; Metazoa; Chordata; Mammalia; Carnivora; Mustelidae
Description: lncRNA (ENSMPUG00000024218.1)
Source: RNAcentral